GUCAAGGCUUGUGAGAACAGUGACCAGGAGGAGGAUAUACUAUAUACUGAACUAAUAGAUAACUAGCAAAUUCAUUGAUGAACUGUGAAUUGAUAAUCGUGAUAAACUUUAAGUGUGACUUCAAUAAAAGUAAGACAUAGAAAAUAACAUGAAUGGAUAUUGCUAUAAUCCGGAUAUAAGACACCAGUGAACAGAACCAAGGGAGAUCAAUAUCAUUUCACCAACUGUGAGACUGCUACUGGGCCGCGUCAAAGUAAUUAAGAUAUAUAUAUACGGAGUGUCCUCUGUACGUGGCACCAAGAUGGAAGCGACAGGGGACCCAGUAAUAACAGCGAAGGAGGCAAAGUUUACCCCCGUGGACUACACGGUGUUCGGUCUCAUGCUGGUGGUGUCCGUUGUCAUCGGGAUGAUCAGCGCCGUCAAGAGUCGGGGUAAAGUCUCCACACAGGAGUACCUGUUGGGAGGCAGGACCAUGUCUCCGGUACCUGUAGCCAUCUCUUUAUUUGGAGGAUGGAUCUCUGCCGUAUCUA
This is a non-coding RNA of Cherax quadricarinatus, 530 nucleotides long. NCBI's taxonomy places the organism in Eukaryota, Metazoa, Arthropoda, Malacostraca, Decapoda, Parastacidae. The record is from RefSeq and is a predicted model, not a curated record.